UUCGUGUUCUCCCUCUACCUAGCCGCCACUUUCUUCACUCCGAGCGCCCCACCCUCCUCUCCCUUCCGCUAUGACCCAUGAGCGCCCGACUCUCUCUCUCUCUCUCUCUCUCCCCUGUUCUUCGUCCGAUGCCCUCCUCGCUCCUGCAUCUUCUCCUUCGUCCAUGUCGACUACCGUCCAUGUCGACAAAUCAACCGCAUCCCGGGACCCUAAUCCUGCGGCCCCUCAUCUCAGAUCUUGAUUCCCCGACCGGCUCGGCGUGCAACUGCUCAUCGAUUCUAUGCUGGCCUUGAGGAUCCACCGCAAGAUCCACACCGUUCUCCCUCCCUCACUUUUGCCUCUAUUUUUUUCUCGGUUGUUUUAGGGUUUGUCCAUGUUUUACGCAGGUAAGAACAAGAGGAGGUGCUGACCUAGAGCCGAUGAAGAAGGAGACCAUCACGAGGGAGUACAUCGUCAUCCUUGACAUGCGCCUCCAUCGAUGACUCGUGUAACCCGUGUCCCGUGCCUGUGGUUGUGUGCUCGGGGCCGACUUGAUGGUCUUCGGAUAGGCAUACGGUUGUGGUGAUGUUACUGGUUGCUGCAGUUGGUGGCUCUAUUGGUCUCCCGGAGCGGCGGUGGAAGCAUCUUCUUCGACUUAGGCGCACUAGCUCCGUUUGUGUGAUGUUAGGUUACUGGACGCUCUCUUUUUUUAACGUGUUUUAUGAUGUUUAACGACUCAUGCGUGUGCUAUGGUUCUGCUCAGUUUGUUGUUGAGUAUAUGUUGUUUCUAAUAUCCCCAUGGUUGCAAUGCUUCUCCUAAUUAUGGUUACUGUCUAGUACUCCUAUUUAUACAUGACUUAUGAUGAUGACAUGGUUGGGUUUGUGUAGGCUAUUAUUUACGAUUUAGGCACUAUACUGUGAAUAAACUUGUUAUUGGUUAUUGGCAUGGUCUCUAUUGUUAGUAGCAAAUGCUUAAAUAUAAUUUCUAGAAUUGGUCAUGAGCUAAAAAUUACUAUCAUUGAUUUUACUUGUGCUCUACAACUCCUUGAUUGGAUUGUUGUGUGUUUGCGCAUUAUGCAGAUUUACAUGUUAUUAUUUGUAUGUUGCCUAAUCGGUCGCACAUGGUCAAAUUCUUGUUAGGUGUUAGGUGACGAC
This 1134-nucleotide long non-coding RNA is filed under the name Hordeum vulgare. RNAcentral describes it as "long non-coding RNA (HVUL_LNC016149)". The record is from RNAcentral. Lineage: Eukaryota; Viridiplantae; Streptophyta; Magnoliopsida; Poales; Poaceae.